Molecule: ribosomal RNA, 253 nt
Filed under: uncultured bacterium
Lineage: Bacteria
Description: partial 16S ribosomal RNA
Rfam family: Bacterial small subunit ribosomal RNA
Source: RNAcentral
UACAGAGGGCGCGAGCGUUGUCCGGAAUCACUGGGCGUAAAGGGCGCGUAGGCGGCGUGACAAGUCACUUGUGAAAUCUCCGGGCUUAACUCGGAACGGUCAAGUGAUACUGUCGUGCUAGAGUACAGAAGGGGCAACUGGAAUUCUCGGUGUAGCGGUGAAAUGCGUAGAUAUCGAGAGGAACACCUGCGGCGAAGGCGGGUUGCUGGGCUGAUACUGACGCUGAGGCGCGAAAGCCAGGGGAGCGAACGGG